RNAcentral lists this ribosomal RNA (895 nucleotides) under Melampsora laricis-populina. RNAcentral's name for it is "Melampsora larici-populina partial 28S large subunit ribosomal RNA". It matches the Rfam family "Eukaryotic large subunit ribosomal RNA", at positions 64 to 938 of the family's 3401-position model. Lineage: Eukaryota; Fungi; Basidiomycota; Pucciniomycetes; Pucciniales; Melampsoraceae. The record is from RNAcentral.
AAUAACUAUGAUUCCCUUAGUAACGGCGAGUGAACAGGGAAAAGCCCAAAUUUGUAAUCUGGCACUUUUUACAAGUGUCCGAGUUGUAAUUUGUAGAACUGUUAUCCGCGCUGGACCAUGUACAAGUCUGUUGAAAAGCAGCAUCAUUGAAGGUGAAAAUCCUGUAGAUGAUAUGGACUACCAGUGCAUUUGUGAUACGGUUUCUAAGAGUCGAGUUGUUUGGGAAUGCAGCUCAAAGUGGGUGGUAAAUUCCAUCUAAGGCUAAAUAUAAGUGAGAGACCGAUAGCAAACAAGUACCGUGAGGGAAAGAUGAAAAGAACUUUGAAAAUAGAGUUAACAGUACGUGAAAUUGCUGAAAGGGAAACGUUUGAAGUUAGUUUUGUAUUCGUUGGAUCAGCUUCGCAAGGAGUGUAUUCUGAUGAUAAGCAAGUCAACAUCAAUCUAUGAGUGUCGGAGAAGGGUUUUGAGAAUGUAGCAAUUUUUAUUAAUUGUGUUAUAGCUUGAGACUUGGAUACGAUGCUUUGGAUUGAGGAACGCGUAGUAAGCUUUGAGCGGAUUCGAAAGGAUCUCCUUACUAUGGAUGUUGGUGAAAUAACUUUAAGCGACCCGUCUUGAAACACGGACCAAGGAGUCUAACAUGCUUGCGAGUAUUAGGGUGUUGAAACCCGAAUGCGUAAUGAAAGUGAAUUUCAGAUGUGAUCCGCAAGGUGCAACAUCGACCAGUCUGGAUCAUUUAUGUGAAGGUACUGAGUAAGAGCAAGUAUGUUAGGACCCGAAAGAUGGUGAACUAUGCCUGGAUAGGGUGAAGUCAGAGGAAACUCUGAUGGAAGCUCGUAGCGGUUCUGACGUGCAAAUCGAUCGUAGAAUCUGGGUAUAGGGGCGAAAGACUAAUCGA